AGCGAACGCUGGCGGCAGGCCUAAUACAUGCAAGUCGAGCGCACCUUCGGGUGAGCGGCGGACGGGUGAGUAACGCGUGGGAACGUGCCCUUUGGUACGGGAUAACUGAGGGAAACUUCAGCUAAUACCGUAUGUGCCCUACGGGGGAAAGAUUUAUCGCCAUUGGAGCGGCCCGCGUUGGAUUAGGUAGUUGGUGGGGUAAAGGCCCACCAAGCCGACGAUCCAUAGCUGGUCUGAGAGGAUGAUCAGCCACACUGGGACUGAGACACGGCCCAGACUCCUACGGGAGGCAGCAGUAGGGAAUCUUGCGCAAUGGGCGAAAGCCUGACGCAGCCAUGCCGCGUGAAUGAUGAAGGUCUUAGGAUUGUAAAAUUCUUUCACCGGGGAAGAUAAUGACGGUACCCGGAGAAGAAGCCCCGGCUAACUUCGUGCCAGCAGCCGCGGUAAUACGAAGGGGGCUAGCGUUGCUCGGAAUUACUGGGCGUAAAGGGCGCGUAGGCGGAUGUUUAAGUCGGGGGUGAAAGCCCGGGGCUCAACCUCGGAAUUGCCUUCGAUACUGGACAUCUUGAGUACGGGAGAGGUGAGUGGAACUCCGAGUGUAGAGGUGAAAUUCGUAGAUAUUCGGAAGAACACCAGUGGCGAAGGCGACUCACUGGCCCGUUACUGACGCUGAGGCGCGAAAGCGUGGGGAGCAAACAGG
Molecule: ribosomal RNA, 700 nt
Filed under: uncultured Alphaproteobacteria bacterium
Lineage: Bacteria; Pseudomonadati; Pseudomonadota; Alphaproteobacteria
Description: bacterial SSU rRNA
Rfam family: Bacterial small subunit ribosomal RNA
Source: RNAcentral